UACGUAGGGGGCUAGCGUUGUCCGGAAUCAUUGGGCGUAAAGAGCGUGUAGGCGGCCCGGUAAGUCCGCUGUGAAAGUCGAGGGCUCAACCCUCGAAUGCCGGCGGAUACUGUCGGGCUAGAGUCCGGAAGAGGCGAGUGGAAUUCCUGGUGUAGCGGUGAAAUGCGCAGAUAUCAGGAGGAACACCUACGGCGAAGGCAGCUCGCUGGGACGGUACUGACGCUGAGACGCGAAAGCGUGAGGAGCAAACAGG
RNAcentral lists this ribosomal RNA (253 nucleotides) under uncultured bacterium. RNAcentral's name for it is "partial 16S ribosomal RNA". It matches the Rfam family "Bacterial small subunit ribosomal RNA", at positions 524 to 776 of the family's 1533-position model. The record is from RNAcentral.